GGAACAUGCUCUCUUCAGAAACCUUAUUUCCAUCAACAUUUCAAAACCCUAAUUUCAACUUCUUGCCUCUCGAACCUUUCCCUCCUAUGAUCCCUAAAGAAGAAAAUGGGUUAUUGCUGGGAGGGAAAGAGGAUAUGGAAAGCGGGUCUGGGAAUGAACAACAAGCUGAAGACAAGCUUGGGAAUGAACAGAACAGCAGUGAGCAGCCCCUCAAGAAGAAACGUUACCACCGACACACUGCUCACCAGAUCCAAGAAUUGGAAGCUGUUUUUAGGGAGAGUCCCCAUCCAGAUGACAAGCAAAGGAUGAGAUUAA
Hibiscus syriacus is the source of this 315-nucleotide long non-coding RNA. RefSeq lists it as uncharacterized. The record is from RefSeq and is a predicted model, not a curated record. Lineage: Eukaryota; Viridiplantae; Streptophyta; Magnoliopsida; Malvales; Malvaceae. The transcript has 3 exons.